This 28-nucleotide small RNA is filed under the name Bombyx mori (domestic silkworm). RNAcentral's name for it is "ovarian small RNA-23096". Lineage: Eukaryota; Metazoa; Arthropoda; Insecta; Lepidoptera; Bombycidae. The record is from RNAcentral.
UAGUGUUUUAAUUCAAUGGAAUCACUGC